UACGUAGGGGGCUAGCGUUGUCCGGAAUCAUUGGGCGUAAAGCGCGCGUAGGCGGCCCGGUAAGUCCGCUGUAAAAGUCCAGGGCUCAACCCUGGAAAGCCGGUGGAUACUGUCGGGCUCGAGUCCGGAAGAGGCGAGUGGAAUUCCUGGUGUAGCGGUGGAAUGCGCAGAUAUCAGGAGGAACACCAGUGGCGAAGGCGACUUCCUGGCCUGUUCUUGACGCUGAGGCGCGAAAGCUAGGGUAGCAAACGGG
RNAcentral lists this ribosomal RNA (253 nucleotides) under uncultured bacterium. RNAcentral describes it as "partial 16S ribosomal RNA". It matches the Rfam family "Bacterial small subunit ribosomal RNA", at positions 524 to 776 of the family's 1533-position model. The record is from RNAcentral.